CAGCAGCCGCGGGAAUACGAAGGGGGCUAGCGUUGUUCGGAUCUACUGGGCGUAAAGCGCACGUAGGCGGAUCCUUAAGUCAGAGGUGAAAUCCCAAGGCUCAACCUUGGAACUGCCUUUGAUACUGGGGAUCUCGAGUUCGGGAGAGGUGAGUGGAACUGCGAGUGUAGAGGUGAAAUUCGUAGAUAUUCGCAAGAACACCAGUGGCGAAGGCGGCUCACUGGCCCGAUACUGACGCUGAGGUGCGAAAGCGUGGGGAGCAAACAGGAUUAGAUACCCGGGUAGUCCCUGUCUCUUAUAC
Molecule: ribosomal RNA, 301 nt
Filed under: uncultured bacterium
Lineage: Bacteria
Description: partial 16S ribosomal RNA
Rfam family: Bacterial small subunit ribosomal RNA
Source: RNAcentral